UGAAUACUCCCUCCGAUCCAUAUUAAUUGUUGACAUAUUACAUGUAUCUAGACGCUUUUUAGGCAUAGAUACAUCCAUAUUUGGGCAACUUUGUGACAAUUAAUAUGGAUCGGAGGGAGUUUUUA
This is a non-coding RNA of Brachypodium distachyon (stiff brome), 125 nucleotides long. The record is from Rfam. NCBI's taxonomy places the organism in Eukaryota, Viridiplantae, Streptophyta, Magnoliopsida, Poales, Poaceae.